AUUGAACGCUGGCGGCAGGCCUAACACAUGCAAGUCGAGCGGAUGAAGGGAGCUUGCUCCUGGAUUCAGCGGCGGACGGGUGAGUAAUGCCUAGGAAUCUGCCCGGUAGUGGGGAUAACGUCCGGAAACGGGCGCUAAUACCGCAUACGUCCUGAGGGAGAAAGUGGGGGAUCUUCGGACCUCACGCUAUCAGAUGAGCCUAGGUCGGAUUAGCUAGUUGGUGGGGUAAAGGCCUACCAAGGCGACGAUCCGUAACUGGUCUGAGAGGAUGAUCAGUCACACUGGAACUGAGACACGGUCCAGACUCCUACGGGAGGCAGCAGUGGGGAAUAUUGGACAAUGGGCGAAAGCCUGAUCCAGCCAUGCCGCGUGUGUGAAGAAGGUCUUCGGAUUGUAAAGCACUUUAAGUUGGGAGGAAGGGCAGUAAGUUAAUACCUUGCUGUUUUGACGUUACCAACAGAAUAAGCACCGGCUAACUUCGUG
This 483-nucleotide ribosomal RNA is filed under the name uncultured bacterium. RNAcentral describes it as "partial 16S ribosomal RNA". It matches the Rfam family "Bacterial small subunit ribosomal RNA", at positions 30 to 507 of the family's 1533-position model. The record is from RNAcentral.